Molecule: long non-coding RNA, 180 nt
Organism: Sinocyclocheilus grahami
Lineage: Eukaryota; Metazoa; Chordata; Actinopteri; Cypriniformes; Cyprinidae
Exons: 3
Source: RefSeq, a predicted model, not a curated record
UAUAACGUCUGAUUAGGCUUGUGAAGACCAGCAAGUCCUGACCAACAACCAGACAGAGAACAGCGAGAAUGACUCUGAGGAAGGGUCUAGACACGAGGACCAAACUGCCUUAGAAGAGCCAUCUGUUAUGGUGAGGCUGGGUCCAAACAGUGUUGACAUGACAGAGGAGGAAUUGGAGGU